UCCCUGGUGGUCCAGUGGUUGGGACUCUGAGCUUCCAAAGCAGGGGUUGCAGGUACAAUCCCUGGUUGGGGAA
Molecule: transfer RNA, 73 nt
Filed under: Bos indicus (zebu cattle)
Lineage: Eukaryota; Metazoa; Chordata; Mammalia; Artiodactyla; Bovidae
Also listed under: 3 other names
Rfam family: tRNA
About the family: Transfer RNA (tRNA) molecules are approximately 80 nucleotides in length. Their secondary structure includes four short double-helical elements and three loops (D, anti-codon, and T loops).
Source: Rfam by way of RNAcentral